UGGGGAAUCUUGCGCAAUGGGCGAAAGCCUGACGCAGCAACGCCGCGUGCGGGAUGACGGCCUUCGGGUUGUAAACCGCUUUCAGCAGGGACGAAGAUGACGGUACCUGCAGAAGAAGCUGCGGCUAACUACGUGCCAGCAGCCGCGGUAAUACGUAGGCAGCAAGCGUUGUUCGGAGUUACUGGGCGUAAAGAGUGCGUAGGCGGUUUUCUAAGUUCGGUGUGAAAUCUCCCGGCUUAACUGGGAGGGUGCGCCGAAGACUGGGAAGCUGGAGUGUGGGAAAGGCAGGCGGAAUUCCUGGUGUAGCGGUGAAAUGCGUAGAUAUCAGGAGGAACACCGGCGGUGUAGACGGCUUGCUAGACCAUAACUGACGCUGAGGCACGAAAGCGUGGGUAGCAAACA
This 402-nucleotide ribosomal RNA is filed under the name uncultured bacterium. RNAcentral describes it as "bacterial SSU rRNA". It matches the Rfam family "Bacterial small subunit ribosomal RNA", at positions 355 to 774 of the family's 1533-position model. The record is from RNAcentral.